UAGGGAAUCUUCGGCAAUGGGGGGAACCCUGACCGAGCAACGCCGCGUGAGUGAAGAAGGUUUUCGGAUCGUAAAGCUCUGUUGUUAAGGAAGAACGAGUGUGAGAAUGGAAAGUUCAUACUGUGACGGUACUUAACCAGAAAGGGACGGCUAACUACGUGCCAGCAGCCGCGGUAAUACGUAGGUCCCGAGCGUUGUCCGGAUUUAUUGGGCGUAAAGCGAGCGCAGGCGGUUAGAUAAGUCUGAAGUUAAAGGCAGUGGCUCAACCAUUGUAGGCUUUGGAAACUGUUUAACUUGAGUGCAGAAGGGGAGAGUGGAAUUCCAUGUGUAGCGGUGAAAUGCGUAGAUAUAUGGAGGAACACCGGUGGCGAAAGCGGCUCUCUGGUCUGUAACUGGCGCUGAGGCUCGAAAGCGUGGGGAGCGAACAGG
This 429-nucleotide ribosomal RNA is filed under the name Bacteroidota bacterium. Its description in RNAcentral is "Bacteroidetes bacterium partial 16S ribosomal RNA". It matches the Rfam family "Bacterial small subunit ribosomal RNA", at positions 355 to 776 of the family's 1533-position model. Lineage: Bacteria; Pseudomonadati; Bacteroidota. The record is from RNAcentral.